Cebus imitator (Panamanian white-faced capuchin) is the source of this 1352-nucleotide long non-coding RNA. RefSeq lists it as uncharacterized. Lineage: Eukaryota; Metazoa; Chordata; Mammalia; Primates; Cebidae. The record is from RefSeq and is a predicted model, not a curated record. The transcript has 2 exons.
UAUUAAGCUUAGUACCCCUUAGUAAUUUUCUGAUCCUCUUCCUCCUUCUACUCUCCACCCUCCAACAGGCCCCAGUGUGUGUUGUUCCCCUUUAUGUGUCCAUGUGUUAUCAUUUACUUCUCACUUAUCAGUGCGAACAACUUUCAUUCAACAUCUAAUUUGUCUUUCUUCACUCUGGCGUGGAAAUUUUGAUAAAGAUUUCAGUAUCACUUAAACCUUUCUCAGAAUAAUAGAAAGGAUAAUUUAGUUUCUUCUGAAAAGUUUAUUUUAGGCUAGUGCCACAUGGUUGUGAAUAUUAACUAUAAAAUCUAGAAUAAAAAUCUACAGAUAAAAUCCAUAAUUCUAUCAUCUGAACACAAUGAACAGUAGUAUUUGGGCAUAUUUUCUUGUAGGUUUUUUAACCGUAUAGUUAUAGAGAAUAUGUAAUUUGGAUCUGUGUUUUUUACACAAAUAUUUUUCUAUGUUAAAUAGUCUUCAUAAGUUAUAUAGGUCUGCUUAAUAGUUCUGCUACUGGAGUUUUCAUUAUUAGGUAAGUUGGUUGUUAUGGUUGGACAUUUAGGUUUACAAUAUUAAAACAGUGGUUUAUAUACAAUUUCAGUGGUUGAAAAAUAUGCAUUUCUAUUUUGGAAUGACAGUAUUAAUUUAACUUAGUGAAUCUCAUAUUCCAGAACUGAGAUGACUGAUUUGAUGCUAUUUGUGACAGACAGAACCCAUAAUAAAACCUUUCUAUACAAAUUACAUUUUAUAGAAUUAUCCUGCUAAAAGUAACCUUUAGGGAAUGUAAAACAGUCCUUUGAUGUUCCCAUAUCAUUCACUUUGCCAUUCUGAACAACUAUCAUUUUAAUUAAGACCACUUAACAGACACUUGCUGGAUAUAAUUCUUAAGUUUCGGAUUGAAACUUAGUCGAUCCAGUUUAAUAACCGAAUCCAGUUGCACAUUUAUCAGCCUGAAAACUACAGGCUGAUAGUUUGCAGAUUGGUAAAUCAGGGUACUUGACAAGAAUAAAUAUGGUAAACCUUUACAUAUUCAUGUGUUACAUGCCAGAUAUGAGUGUUUCGGGACCCUGUUCAAGGAAAUAGUGAUCACUGAGAAAGGUACAGGGAAAUAAACACCCAAGCGAAACAACAGAACUAAGCAUUCCCAACUUCACAAAAAACUGCUCAGAAUUAUCUUUGUGGGUUCUGAGUAAGUUCAGCUUUUUAACAUCAGCUAGUCACUAAUGCCAGAAAGUCCACCUUAAGUGUAUUUAUUUUCUUGUGUUAAGCAUUAUUCAACCUGGUUUAUGUCUACAAUGUAUUAUCAGUGUACUUAGGAUUCUUGAUACCUCAAUGUGAAUAAAUAAAAUUUUGAA